Molecule: ribosomal RNA, 2935 nt
Filed under: Edwardsiella piscicida
Lineage: Bacteria; Pseudomonadati; Pseudomonadota; Gammaproteobacteria; Enterobacterales; Hafniaceae
Description: bacterial LSU rRNA
Rfam family: Bacterial large subunit ribosomal RNA
Source: RNAcentral
GGGUUGUGAGGUUAAGUGACUAAGCGUACACGGUGGAUGCCUAGGCAGUCAGAGGCGAUGAAGGACGUGCUAAUCUGCGAUAAGCGUCGGUGAGCUGAUAUGAAGCAUUAUUAGCCGGCGAUGUCCGAAUGGGGAAACCCAGUGCAAUCCGUUGCACUAUCGUUAAGUGAAUACAUAGCUUAACGAGGCGAACCAGGGGAACUGAAACAUCUAAGUACCCUGAGGAAAAGAAAUCAACCGAGAUUCCCCUAGUAGCGGCGAGCGAACGGGGAAGAGCCCAGAACCUGAAUCAGUUUGUGCAUUAGUGGAAGCGUCUGGAAAGUCGCGCGAUACAGGGUGAUAGCCCCGUACACGAAGGUGCACAGCUGUGAGUUCGAUGAGUAGGGCGGGACACGUGUUAUCCUGUCUGAAUAUGGGGGGACCAUCCUCCAAGGCUAAAUACUCCUGACUGACCGAUAGUGAACCAGUACCGUGAGGGAAAGGCGAAAAGAACCCCGGCGAGGGGAGUGAAAUAGAACCUGAAACCGUGUACGUACAAGCAGUGGGAGCAUCCUUCGGGGUGUGACUGCGUACCUUUUGUAUAAUGGGUCAGCGACUUAUAUUUUGUAGCAAGGUUAACCGAAUAGGGGAGCCGUAGGGAAACCGAGUCUUAACUGGGCGUCUAGUUGCAAGGUAUAGACCCGAAACCCGGUGAUCUAGCCAUGGGCAGGUUGAAGGUUGGGUAACACUAACUGGAGGACCGAACCGACUAAUGUUGAAAAAUUAGCGGAUGACUUGUGGCUGGGGGUGAAAGGCCAAUCAAACCGGGAGAUAGCUGGUUCUCCCCGAAAGCUAUUUAGGUAGCGCCUCGUGAACUCAUCUUCGGGGGUAGAGCACUGUUUCGGCUAGGGGGUCAUCCCGACUUACCAACCCGAUGCAAACUACGAAUACCGAAGAAUGUUAUCACGGGAGACACACGGCGGGUGCUAACGUCCGUCGUGAAGAGGGAAACAACCCAGACCGCCAGCUAAGGUCCCAAAGUCAUGGUUAAGUGGGAAACGAUGUGGGAAGGCAUAGACAGCCAGGAUGUUGGCUUAGAAGCAGCCAUCAUUUAAAGAAAGCGUAAUAGCUCACUGGUCGAGUCGGCCUGCGCGGAAGAUGUAACGGGGCUAAACCAUGCACCGAAGCUGCGGCAGCGACGCUUAGGCGUUGUUGGGUAGGGGAGCGUUCUGUAAGCCUGCGAAGGUGGCCUGUGAGGGCUGCUGGAGGUAUCAGAAGUGCGAAUGCUGACAUAAGUAACGAUAAAGCGGGUGAAAAGCCCGCUCGCCGGAAGACCAAGGGUUCCUGUCCAACGUUAAUCGGGGCAGGGUAAGUCGACCCCUAAGGCGAGGCUGAAAAGCGUAGUCGAUGGGAAACAGGUUAAUAUUCCUGUACUUGGUGUUAUUGCGAAGGGGGGACGGAGAAGGCUAGACCGGCCGGGCGACGGUUGUCCCGGUUUAAGCGUGUAGGUGGGGUGACUUGGCAAAUCCGGUUACCUUUAACACUGAGGCGUGAUGACGAGGCACUACGGUGCUGAAGUGGUUAAUGCCCUGCUUCCAGGAAAAGCCUCUAAGCUCCAGAUAACACUGAAUCGUACCCCAAACCGACACAGGUGGUCAGGUAGAGAAUACCAAGGCGCUUGAGAGAACUCGGGUGAAGGAACUAGGCAAAAUGGUGCCGUAACUUCGGGAGAAGGCACGCUGGCACGUAGGUGAAGUCCCUCGCGGAUGGAGCCGAAGCCAGUCGAAGAUACCAGCUGGCUGCAACUGUUUAAUAAAAACACAGCACUCUGCAAACACGAAAGUGGACGUAUAGGGUGUGACGCCUGCCCGGUGCUGGAAGGUUAAUUGAUGGGGUCAGCCGCAAGGCGAAGCUCUUGAUCGAAGCCCCAGUAAACGGCGGCCGUAACUAUAACGGUCCUAAGGUAGCGAAAUUCCUUGUCGGGUAAGUUCCGACCUGCACGAAUGGCGUAAUGAUGGCCAGGCUGUCUCCACCCGAGACUCAGUGAAAUUGAACUCGCUGUGAAGAUGCAGUGUACCCGCGGCAAGACGGAAAGACCCCGUGAACCUUUACUAUAGCUUGACACUGAACAUUGAACCUUGAUGUGUAGGAUAGGUGGGAGGCUUUGAAGUGUGGACGCCAGUCUGCAUGGAGCCGACCUUGAAAUACCACCCUUUAAUGUUUGAUGUUCUAACCUGGUCCCGUGAUCCGGGAUAGGGACAGUGUCUGGUGGGUAGUUUGACUGGGGCGGUCUCCUCCCAAAGAGUAACGGAGGAGCACGAAGGUUAGCUAAUCCUGGUCGGACAUCAGGAGGUUAGUGCAAAGGCAUAAGCUAGCUUGACUGCGAGAGUGACGGCUCGAGCAGGUGCGAAAGCAGGUCUUAGUGAUCCGGUGGUUCUGAAUGGAAGGGCCAUCGCUCAACGGAUAAAAGGUACUCCGGGGAUAACAGGCUGAUACCGCCCAAGAGUUCAUAUCGACGGCGGUGUUUGGCACCUCGAUGUCGGCUCAUCACAUCCUGGGGCUGAAGUAGGUCCCAAGGGUAUGGCUGUUCGCCAUUUAAAGUGGUACGCGAGCUGGGUUUAGAACGUCGUGAGACAGUUCGGUCCCUAUCUGCCGUGGGCGUUGGAAGAUUGAGAGGGGCUGCUCCUAGUACGAGAGGACCGGAGUGGACGCACCGCUGGUGUUCGGGUUGUGAUGCCAAUUGCAUUGCCCGGUAGCUACGUGCGGAAAAGAUAAGCGCUGAAAGCAUCUAAGCGCGAAACUUGCCUCGAGAUGAGUCUUCCCUUGGACCUUGAGUCCACUAAAGGAACGUUUAAGACUAAGACGUUGAUAGGCUGGGUGUGUAAGCGUAGCGAUACGUUGAGCUAACCAGUACUAAUGAUCCGUGAGACUUAACCUUACAACACCGAAGGUGUUU